UAAACAUGCAUCCGGCGGUGUGUUGGUGGCGCCGCAUUGCUUGGCGCGGAGCCUGCGCCCUUCCUUCUGGUACAUUCCCCGACGCAAUCCGACCCCGUUCGCACCAGCAAAGCUUUCCUCCUAACUCAACGUCAACACGUUGUCAUUCUUCGUUUUUUGCGGCAACGGACGUGCAGCGUUUUUGCGGCGGUCAUCUUUCCAGUGUUGGCGACAGCAAAUUGCUACCUUCAGCUUCGCUUUCGCGUGUCGGGCAGCUUUCGGGGCGAGAAUUUUCCAGCAGCAAUAAAGCCACGCAUAAAAUGACGGCCAGCAAGUACCAGAUUGCGGAACGUGGCGCUCCCAACUCCACCGACUACCGGGUUUAUUUCAAGAACGAAAACGGACAGUCCAUUUCACCUCUGCAUGACAUUCCACUGUACGCGAACGAUGAGCGAACCGUGUACAACAUGGUGGUGGAGGUGCCCCGCUGGACGAACGCCAAGAUGGAAAUCAGCUUGGGCGAGGGCCUGAACCCGAUCAAGCAGGACGUGAAGAAGGGCAAGCUGCGGUUCGUCGCCAACUGCUUCCCGCACCACGGCUACAUCUGGAACUACGGUGCGUUCCCGCAGACCUGGGAGAACCCGGACCACCUGGACGCGGACACCGGCUGCAAGGGCGAUAACGAUCCCAUCGAUGUGCUCGAGAUUGGCUCGCGCAUUGCCAAGCGGGGCGAGGUGUUGCAGGUGAAAAUACUCGGCACGAUCGCACUGAUCGACGAGGGCGAAACGGACUGGAAGAUUAUCACGAUCAACGUGAACGACCCGCUGGCCGAUCAGGUGAACGAUAUCGGCGACGUGGAGACGGUGUUCCCCGGGCUGCUGCGCGCCUCGGUCGAGUGGUUCAAGAUCUACAAGAUCCCGGACGGCAAGCCGGAGAAUCAGUUCGCGUUCAACGGCGACGCGAAGGAUGCCGCAUUCGCCACCAAGACGGUCGCUGAGACGCACCGGUUUUGGCAGCAGCUGGUUAACAAGGAGGUUGACAACAAUGGCAUCUCAUGCCUAAACACGACCGUCGACGGUUCGCCGUAUCUGGUGGCUAAUGAUGCAGCAGAUGAGGUGUUUGCCAAGAGUGCGACCGGUGGUAAUCCCGAGCCCGUCAGUGAAGCACUUCACAAAUGGCACUUCGGGUCGGAAAACAGCUAUUCAAAGCUGUAAGAACCGGUGUGUGUUGUAGCUAGCUUUCGCCCGGCAAUGCUGAACGUGCUCUAGAUUUGACAAAUGGCACUACAUUACGCUGAAGUAAACGAUCGAGAACGAUUUGAGCGUUGAAGACAACUGCACACAUUCGAUUGUAGGUGGAGAUGUUGUUUUAAUACCUUCGUAAAGUGGAAGCUAGCGAGAUUUUUUAAUUAAAAUUAUUCUUCAGUACAGCAGUCUAAAGCUCGCGGUUAAUUUGGUAGGUGUUAUAUUUAUUUAUUGUAAACUGCACACGAUAAAACAUUUGCUCGCAGCGAUACGGUUCGGAAAAGGUUGAUGCAUUUAAUAAAAGUGAAAUUAACUGAAGGAUCCAAUA
Molecule: RNA transcript, 1551 nt
Organism: Anopheles arabiensis
Lineage: Eukaryota; Metazoa; Arthropoda; Insecta; Diptera; Culicidae
Gene: Nurf-38
Gene name: inorganic pyrophosphatase
Exons: 5
Source: RefSeq, a predicted model, not a curated record